ACGCACGCUGGCGGCGUGCCUCAUACAUGCCAGUUGAGCGAUGAAGAUUGGUGCUUGCACCAAUUUGAAGAGCAGCGAACGGGUGAGUAACGCGUGGGGAAUCUGCCUUUGAGCGGGGGACAACAUUUGGAAACGAAUGCUAAUACCGCAUAACAACUUUAAACAUAAGUUUUAAGUUUGAAAGAUGCAAUUGCAUCACUCAAAGAUGAUCCCGCGUUGUAUUAGCUAGUUGGUGAGGUAAAGGCUCACCAAGGCGAUGAUACAUAGCCGACCUGAGAGGGUGAUCGGCCACAUUGGGACUGAGACACGGCCCAAACUCCUACGGGAGGCAGCAGUAGGGAAUCUUCGGCAAUGGACGAAAGUCUGACCGAGCAACGCCGCGUGAGUGAAGAAGGUUUUCGGAUCGUAAAACUCUGUUGGUAGAGAAGAACGUUGGUGAGAGUGGAAAGCUCAUCAAGUGACGGUAACUACCCAGAAAGGGACGGCUAACUACGUG
This 496-nucleotide ribosomal RNA is filed under the name uncultured bacterium. RNAcentral's name for it is "partial 16S ribosomal RNA". It matches the Rfam family "Bacterial small subunit ribosomal RNA", at positions 29 to 507 of the family's 1533-position model. The record is from RNAcentral.